Molecule: ribosomal RNA, 503 nt
Filed under: uncultured Acidobacteriota bacterium
Lineage: Bacteria; Pseudomonadati; Acidobacteriota
Description: bacterial SSU rRNA
Rfam family: Bacterial small subunit ribosomal RNA
Source: RNAcentral
CGGCGAAGUCGACUUCCGCAAGGACACUCGUAGAGGUGCUGCAUGGCUGUCGUCAGCUCGUGUCGUGAGAUGUUGGGUUAAGUCCCGCAACGAGCGCAACCCUUGUUUGCUGUUGCCAUCACGUGAUGGUGGGCACUCUGCAAAGACUGCCGGUGAUAAACCGGAGGAAGGUGGGGAUGACGUCAAGUCAGCAUGGCCUUUAUGUCUGGGGCUACACACGUGCUACAAUGGCCGAUACAAACCGUCGCGAUACCGCAAGGUGGAGCUAAUCGGAGAAAGUCGGUCUCAGUUCGGAUAGCAGGCUGCAACUCGCCUGCUUGAAGUUGGAAUCGCUAGUAAUCGCGGAUCAGCACGCCGCGGUGAAUACGUUCCCGGGCCUUGUACACACCGCCCGUCACAUCACGAAAGCCGGUUGUACUAGAAGUCGCCACACCAACCCGCAAGGGAGGGAGGUGCCUAAGGUAUGGCCGGUGAUUGGGGUGAAGUCGUAACAAGGUAACCGU